GACGAACGCUGGCGGCGUGCUUAACACAUGCAAGUCGAACGGUAAGGCCCUUCGGGGUACACGAGUGGCGAACGGGUGAGUAACACGUGGGUGAUCUGCCCUGCACUUCGGGAUAAGCCUGGGAAACUGGGUCUAAUACCGGAUAGGACUCCGGACUGCAUGGUCUGGGGUGGAAAGCUUUUGCGGUGUGGGAUGGGCCCGCGGCCUAUCAGCUUGUUGGUGGGGUGAUGGCCUACCAAGGCGGCGACGGGUAGCCGGCCUGAGGGGGUGACCGGCCACACUGGGACUGAGCUACGGCCCAGACUCCUACGGGAGGCAGCAGUGGGGAAUAUUGCACAAUGGGCGCAAGCCUGAUGCAGCGACGCCGCGUGAGGGAUGACGGCCUUCGGGUUGUAAACCUCUUUCAGCACCGACGAAGCGCAAGUGACGGUAGGUGCAGAAGAAGGACCGGCCAACUACGUGCCAGCCGCCGCCGUAA
This 478-nucleotide ribosomal RNA is filed under the name uncultured bacterium. Its description in RNAcentral is "partial 16S ribosomal RNA". It matches the Rfam family "Bacterial small subunit ribosomal RNA", at positions 28 to 523 of the family's 1533-position model. The record is from RNAcentral.